CCAUAUGGUCGACCUGCAGGCGGCCGGAAUUCACUAGUGAUUCGUAUUACCGCGGCUGCUGGCACAGAGUUAGCCGGUGCUUAUUCUGUCGGUAACGUCAAAACACUAACGUAUUAGGUUAAUGCCCUUCCUCCCAACUUAAAGUGCUUUACAAUCCGAAGACCUUCUUCACACACGCGGCAUGGCUGGAUCAGGCUUUCGCCCAUUGUCCAAUAUUCCCCACUGCUGCCUCCCGUAGGAGUCUGGACCGUGUCUCAGUUCCAGUGUGACUGAUCAUCCUCUCAGACCAGUUACGGAUCGUCGCCUUGGUGAGCCAUUACCCCACCAACUAGCUAAUCCGACCUAGGCUCAUCUGAUAGCGCAAGGCCCGAAGGUCCCCUGCUUUCUCCCGUAGGACGUAUGCGGUAUUAGCGUCCGUUUCCGAGCGUUAUCCCCCACUACCAGGCAGAUUCCUAGGCAUUACUCACCCGUCCGCCGCUCUCAAGAGGUGCAAGCACCUCUCUACCGCUCGACUUGCAUGUGUUAGGCCUGCCCCCAGCGUUCAAUCUGAGCCAUGAUCAAACUCUAAUCGAAUUCCCGCG
Molecule: ribosomal RNA, 581 nt
Filed under: uncultured Gammaproteobacteria bacterium
Lineage: Bacteria; Pseudomonadati; Pseudomonadota; Gammaproteobacteria
Description: partial 16S ribosomal RNA
Source: RNAcentral